CUCUGCUAUUAUAAAAAAUUGGUGACAGCAAGAAAUUGUAUCACUGAUAUGUGGAAUUUUUGUAAAUAGUUUUCUCUCCAAAUCAUUAGAAAAAUGUUCAAAAAUAAAAACAAAAUAAAAUAUGGUGGUGGUCCCUAAACUAUUUUGAAGGCAGGUAGCUUAGUCUAAGCUAAAAUAUUUUUUUCAUUCAUAGCAAUAAUCCUCCCCUCAAAUGCCCUUUAAAAAAAUGCAUGAAACCGUACAAUAGCAAAAAUCAAAGAGCACAGACUGUAUUUUCAAGAACAGAAAAAUCUCUAAUGCUGAAAGAUAUAGUAGAAAGCAGAUUUCUUUGGGGACAUUAAUCAAUUAGUUUAUAAUUCAUUAUGAAGAUUUCUCUUUUUUAUUCCGGG
This 389-nucleotide long non-coding RNA is filed under the name Homo sapiens (human). Its description in RNAcentral is "lncAB553.1". The record is from RNAcentral. Lineage: Eukaryota; Metazoa; Chordata; Mammalia; Primates; Hominidae.